RNAcentral lists this ribosomal RNA (496 nucleotides) under uncultured bacterium. RNAcentral describes it as "partial 16S ribosomal RNA". It matches the Rfam family "Bacterial small subunit ribosomal RNA", at positions 29 to 507 of the family's 1533-position model. The record is from RNAcentral.
AUGAACGCUGGCGGCGUGCCUAAUACAUGCAAGUCGAGCGAACAGAUAAGGAGCUUGCUCCUUUGACGUUAGCGGCGGACGGGUGAGUAACACGUGGGUAACCUACCUAUAAGACUGGAAUAACUCCGGGAAACCGGGGCUAAUGCCGGAUAACAUUUAGAACCGCAUGGUUCUAAAGUGAAAGAUGGUUUUGCUAUCACUUAUAGAUGGACCCGCGCCGUAUUAGCUAGUUGGUAAGGUAACGGCUUACCAAGGCAACGAUACGUAGCCGACCUGAGAGGGUGAUCGGCCACACUGGAACUGAGACACGGUCCAGACUCCUACGGGAGGCAGCAGUAGGGAAUCUGCCGCAAUGGGCGAAAGCCUGACGAAGCAACGCCGCGUGAGUGAUGAAGGUCUUCGGAUCGUAAAACUCUGUUAUUAGGGAAGAACAAAUGUGUAAGUAACUGUGCACGUCUUGACGGUACCUAAUCAGAAAGCCACGGCUAACUACGUG